CAAGGUCUCACUGAGUUGCUUAGAGUCUCCCUAAGUUGUUGAGGCUGGCUUUGAACUCCUGAUCCUCCUGUCUCAGCCUCCAGAGACACUGGGAUUACAGGCAUGUGCCAGUGCCCAGCUUAAUUCUUAAUCAUUUUUUAAAGAGAUAGGGAUAACUCUUUAAAAUAUUUAUUUUGGAGGUGGGGAGGAUUUCUGUGCUCAAUUCUGAGCACCAAAUAGAUACAUAAAAUAUUCAUAAUAAAAAAAAAACUUAUUUGACAGGAAAGCAGAGAAUCAGCACAUGGAGCUAUAUGGUAAUAAGAAAAAAUUUUUCCUUUCCUCCCAGUGUCUUUCCUGGGCACAGAUGUCCUAGGGAACUCCCUUGGGUUGAGGUUCCUGUUGGAAAGUUUCCUGGCCGAUCUGGCCUUCUGACCCAGUCCCAGGACAGGACUGCCUCUCCCUGAGCUGGUCAACUUAAAUAGAUUUAUUUACUUGCUUUGUAGUAUUUCAAUAAAUGGAAAAAUGUAUUUAAUUAAUAGAAUCUGAACAACAAUAUGAAAUAUUUCC
Molecule: long non-coding RNA, 546 nt
Filed under: Marmota monax (woodchuck)
Lineage: Eukaryota; Metazoa; Chordata; Mammalia; Rodentia; Sciuridae
Source: RNAcentral